RNAcentral lists this transfer RNA (67 nucleotides) under Malaccina sinica. RNAcentral describes it as "tRNA-Ala". It matches the Rfam family "tRNA". From Rfam's summary of the family: Transfer RNA (tRNA) molecules are approximately 80 nucleotides in length. Their secondary structure includes four short double-helical elements and three loops (D, anti-codon, and T loops). The record is from RNAcentral. Lineage: Eukaryota; Metazoa; Arthropoda; Insecta; Blattodea; Blattellidae.
AGGAUAAUAGUUAAUCAUAACAUUUGAUUUGCAUUCAAAAAGUAUUGAAAAAUAUUCAAUUUAUCUU